GAUGAACGCUGGCGGCGUGCCUAAUACAUGCAAGUCGAGCGAACAGACGAGGAGCUUGCUCCUCUGACGUUAGCGGCGGACGGGUGAGUAACACGUGGAUAACCUACCUAUAAGACUGGGAUAACUUCGGGAAACCGGAGCUAAUACCGGAUAAUAUAUUGAACCGCAUGGUUCAAUAGUGAAAGACGGUUUUGCUGUCACUUAUAGAUGGAUCCGCGCCGCAUUAGCUAGUUGGUAAGGUAACGGCUUACCAAGGCAACGAUGCGUAGCCGACCUGAGAGGGUGAUCGGCCACACUGGAACUGAGACACGGUCCAGACUCCUACGGGAGGCAGCAGUAGGGAAUCUUCCGCAAUGGGCGAAAGCCUGACGGAGCAACGCCGCGUGAGUGAUAAAGGUCUUCGGAUCGUAAAACUCUGUUAUUAGGGAAGAACUAAUGUGUAAGUAACUAUGCACGUCUUGACGGUACCUAAUCAGAAAGCCACGGCUAACUACGUG
This 497-nucleotide ribosomal RNA is filed under the name uncultured bacterium. RNAcentral's name for it is "partial 16S ribosomal RNA". It matches the Rfam family "Bacterial small subunit ribosomal RNA", at positions 28 to 507 of the family's 1533-position model. The record is from RNAcentral.